Hydra vulgaris (swiftwater hydra) is the source of this 318-nucleotide long non-coding RNA. RefSeq lists it as uncharacterized. The record is from RefSeq and is a predicted model, not a curated record. Lineage: Eukaryota; Metazoa; Cnidaria; Hydrozoa; Anthoathecata; Hydridae.
GUUACAAGAAACAUGUUUGUUAACUUUUGAGAAAAAAGACUCUUAUUAAGAAUAUUUUGGUAUUUGUUUGGAUUUAAUUUAUUGUAUUCGCACCAUUUAAAGGCACCAAGAAAUUUAGUAGCCAUGGCGCAGUGGUUUAGCAGUUGUGGCGUAGUGGUUUGAGCAUUUGACUCUUUAUCCAAGGUUUGCGGGUUCGAUCUCAGCUCAAAGCAUAUAAACGUUAUCGGUGAAGUUGGAAAUAGAAAGUUAUCUUAAUAAAUGCUAUUCUUCAUGUGGCGGUUCUCUGUGACAAGACCAUUAGGACUUCUUAGAGCACCU